This is a non-coding RNA of Pogona vitticeps (central bearded dragon), 344 nucleotides long. Lineage: Eukaryota; Metazoa; Chordata; Lepidosauria; Squamata; Agamidae. The record is from RefSeq and is a predicted model, not a curated record.
UUCAGAAUCUCUCGCUGGCUCCCCUCUGGCAGUGGACUCUCCUUUGUCCCUCAGGCAGAGGGCACUGCUUCCGAGGAACAGGUUAGAGGGGAUCGGAGGAGCCGUCUCACAGGGCAUUGAAAAUAUGCAGGGAACCUCUCCUUCAUCUCACCUUUGCAGAGGAAUGGAAGCUGUGCCUGUGCAGCCAGAACAGGGUCCUGUAACCUUUGACGAAGUUGCCGUGAAUUUCACAGAGGCGGAGUGGGCAUUGCUGGAUCAGAACCAAAGGGCCUGCCACAGGGACGUCAUGGAUGAGACGCGUGAAAAUGUGUUGUCUUUGGGUGAGAUUUGCUUUCCUCCCCCUU